CAGCAGCCACGGUAAUACGUAGGGUGCGAGCGUUAAUCGGAAUUACUGGGCGUAAAGCGUGCGCAGGCGGUUGUGUAAGACAGGUGUGAAAUCCCCGGGCUUAACCUGGGAACUGCGCUUGUGACUGCACAGCUAGAGUACGGCAGAGGGGGGUGGAAUUCCACGUGUAGCAGUGAAAUGCGUAGAGAUGUGGAGGAACACCGAUGGCGAAGGCAGCCCCCUGGGCCAAUACUGACGCUCAUGCACGAAAGCGUGGGGAGCAAACAGGAUUAGAUACCCCCGUAGUCCCUGUCUCUUAUAC
This 301-nucleotide ribosomal RNA is filed under the name uncultured bacterium. RNAcentral's name for it is "partial 16S ribosomal RNA". It matches the Rfam family "Bacterial small subunit ribosomal RNA", at positions 509 to 807 of the family's 1533-position model. The record is from RNAcentral.